RNAcentral lists this small RNA (28 nucleotides) under Bombyx mori (domestic silkworm). RNAcentral's name for it is "ovarian small RNA-6332". The record is from RNAcentral. Lineage: Eukaryota; Metazoa; Arthropoda; Insecta; Lepidoptera; Bombycidae.
UAGCACAACUCUGUAGCUCAGAUUCGGG